UACGUAGGGUGCGAGCGUUAAUCGGAAUUACUGGGCGUAAAGGGCUCGUAGGUGGCCAACUAAGUCAGACGUGAAAUCCCUCGGCUUAACCGGGGAACUGCGUCUGAUACUGGAUGGCUUGAGUUUGGGAGAGGGAUGCGGAAUUCCAGGUGUAGCGGUGAAAUGCGUAGAUAUCUGGAGGAACACCGGUGGCGAAGGCGGCAUCCUGGACCAACACUGACACUGAGGAGCGAAAGCCAGGGGAGCAAACGGG
RNAcentral lists this ribosomal RNA (253 nucleotides) under uncultured bacterium. RNAcentral's name for it is "partial 16S ribosomal RNA". It matches the Rfam family "Bacterial small subunit ribosomal RNA", at positions 524 to 776 of the family's 1533-position model. The record is from RNAcentral.